This is a long non-coding RNA of Oncorhynchus tshawytscha (Chinook salmon), 3391 nucleotides long. The record is from Ensembl. NCBI's taxonomy places the organism in Eukaryota, Metazoa, Chordata, Actinopteri, Salmoniformes, Salmonidae.
GUCGGAAAUUAUAGAGAAACAUCUACAUCAGGCAUAAAAUUGUUCCGCCAUCUCUGACUAUAGCUGUAUGAAUGUUAAAUGACGAGACAGAGGCAUUGAUGCGAGUAACCAGUCUUGUUCAGUACAUGACAACACAUCCGGGUAUCUCAAGCACCCCGGUAAAACACAAGAGUUGCAGUAAUGAACAUUUACCAACAGAUGGCAUCACUCUGCCAUCUUACACCCAUAACAUCUUCCAUUUAAUCAAAUAGGACAGGAGGUGUCAAAUCACUAACAAAACAAACCUAGUAACAAUUUCCAACAUGAACAGUUUAGUAUUUAUUUUAUUUUAUUUAUUUAUUUCAGGUAAACAAGAACACAUUUUUAUAUUCUCUUCACUUUUAUCUCUGUCAACAAUCCCUGAUGGGAAACCUACAGAUUAAGUAUUUUUGGUGGCUGGGACAGACGCCCGCAGCGUGAAAAGACAGGGGGCUUGUCUGCGAGGACUGCGGGUUCCCGCACAGGCGUGUCACCUGAAUGUCGAAGGGGAGAAUUGAUGGGCGAGGGAGCAGCCUACCUGUGAUCCCCUGGCUCUUCGCCCAGUGCCUCAGGCCCCAUGUGACUUGCUGGAGUUCUGUCUUUUGUCAUGCGACCACUUUGGCCGUCAGGGUUCUGAGUAGGUGCUGGCUCAGCAAUGCGAAGGUCAACCCUGUUACGACGGUACAGUGAUCCAUUCACUUUGACCAAGUAGGAGCGUGGUGCCACUUUCUGUACACAGGAUCCGAGUCUCCAGAGGCCUGUCCGGUCCCCUGGUAGUGGUGGAAGCGUUGGCAUGCAAACACAAUGCUGAGGCACUCCUUCUCUAUCUGGGCAUAGUUCUGCUCUGUUGGGGUGAGUGCCCUAGAGGUGAAUGCCACAGGCUGGCCCUCCUGCAUGAGGCAACAGCCAAGUCCAUACUGGCUUGAGUCACUCUGAAUCGUGACAGGUUUUGACACAUUGUAGUAUCGCAGUACAGGUGUCUGGGUGACCAGUUGUUUUAUUUCCCUCACCGCUGCGUCAUGUUUUGGGAGCCAAUGCCAGAUGGUGUCCUUGUCCAUGAGCCUCCUCAGUGGCUCACACACUUCAGAGAGCCGCGGUAGGAAUUUGGCCAGGUAGGUGACACUGCACUCCCUUCACGUCAGAUGGGUGGGGCAUUUCCAAGACAGCCUUCACUUUUUCAGGAUCUGCCUUCAAUCCGGUGGAGGACAAGAUGUGCCCAUGAAAGCGGACCUCUGGCACUUUAAACUGAAGCUUUUUUAUGCUUAGCCUUAGCUUGACCUGUCUGCAUCUGACCAUCAGGGCCAGCAGCUUGGCGUCAUGGUCACAUUCUGCCUCCUCAUCACUGUCUCCACAGCCCACUACGAGGAUGUCAUCUGCUAUGGGUUCCACGCCACUGAGUCCCAUCAACAGCUCAUGCUGUUUCCGCUGAUACACCUCUGGAGCCAUGGAGACACCAAACGGAAGCUUCAACCACCUCUUCCUGCCCCAGGGUGUCCAAAAGGUGGUCAUGUAGCUGCUGGGCUCGUCGAGCUUGCACUGCAGGAAGGCAUCUCUGGCAUCCACGAGCGUGAAGACUCUGGCCUUUGGGAGCUUGUAAAGAACAUCCUCCAACGUGGGCAUAAUAUAAUGUGAAUGUCGCAGAGCCCGGUUGAGGUGUUUAGGAUCAAUGCAUAUCCGUAGCUUGUCUGGUUUCUUGAAGAUAACCAUAUUACUUAUCCAGUCCGUAGGCUCAGUGACGGAUAUGAUGUGGCCAUCUGCUUCGUAUUUGUCAAGCUGAGCCUUCGUAGCUGCUUUCAUGGCCACUGGUACAUUGCGGGGUGCACACUGGACAGGCUGGAUUGCUGCGUCUAACUCAAAGUGGACUUCCCCAGGAACUGACUCGACCGGUGCGUUGAAGACAUCAUGGUACUUGCUUAGGAGUGUCUCCUUGCUCAGGGGCCCAGCCUGGACUUUGUCUAUAAUGUUAAGAUCAGCUGGGAUGGUGAAGUUAAUAAGUCCAAGGUGUUCGCAUGUAGAACCUGACAGUAAUGGCUGUUGACUAGCCUCAACUAUUUCAAUCUCAAGGGUGUAUUUCUGGCCACGUAAAACACACUGUCACAAACAGGCCUAAAGAGGUCAUGAACUGGCCUGAAUACAGUUUCAGCUUGGUGCUACUCUGUGUGAGUUUGUCUCUGGGCGCGAGCCUUCUUUUGUCUUUAAGGCUCAUAACGUUGCAUGUGGCCCCUGAAUCUAGCUGGCAUUGCUGUGGUUUAUUAUUAAGUAGCAGAGUGACAAACCACUUUUGUCCUUACUGCCCCUAUGCACUCGCUAGCAUGUACAUCCUCUGUGCUGUCGUUCCCUUCAUCUGUGUUUGUUUCCAUGGAGUGCACUUUACCCUCCUUUCUCUUGCUUUUCAUGCAGACCCUUGUGAAGUGAUUAGCUGUACCACAGGAUUUGCAUAUUUUUCCAUAGGCUGGGCAGUGUUCUUUUCCUCGUCCAUGAGAAAUGCCACAAUAUCGGCAUGUAUUGGGGUUGUCUACUGCAGAGUUGGCUGUAGUAUUAGCAUUAGCUGUGGCAAAGGGGAAUUUCUUUACUGGCUGCCUGAAUGUAGCAUUGACAUUGUCCGUAUGUUGCCUUUCUAGCUCCAUGGACCUUAUCCGUAUAUCAGUAAGCUCUGCUGCACGGCAUGUCUCCACUGCCAAGGCCAGCGUCAGGUCACGUUCUCUCAGCAAACGUCUGCGGGUGCCCUCAUCAGUUAUGCAAAGCACAAUCGUAUCUCUGAUCAGUUCAUCUCUUAAAGCACCAUAGUCACAUGUAGCUGCCUUUUCCCUUAACCUAGUGACAAAGCUGUCAAUGGACUCCCCAUCCUCCUGUUUGCAACGACUGAAAACAUAACGCUCGUAGAUGACGUUCUUUGCUGGCGUAAAGUAAUGUUCAAGAGCAUCAAGAAUAGCUAUAGUGUUACCUUGCUGAGCUGCUGUUAGGUUCAGGUUGUGUUUGUAUACGUGUCGGCAUUCAGUUCCCAUUAUAGUCCUCAAAGUGGCAGCCACUACCUCAUCUUCCUUUUCCAGAAGUCCCGUUGCUAGCGCAUAGUCCUCCCAUUCACCUCUAAACGGAUCCCAGUUCGUGCUCCAAUCCCCGCUGAGCUUCAUAACGGCAGGAGAGGGAAUGUUCACUGCCAUGUCUAACCGGUGCUAACAACACUGAAGCUAACUACCAAACUCACUCUAACUAAGGCCAAUUCCGGGCGAAAUUUUACACAAAUAAGCAUUUGUUUGUAAACCAGAGCAGGUGACUCUAAUUUGCGGAAAGCAUGUUUAGUUAUCCGACUCUGACACCAUGUUUGAAUGUUAAAUGACGAGACAGAGGCAUUGAUGCGAGUAACCAGUCUUGU